UGGGGAAUUUUGGACAAUGGGGGGAAACCCUGAUCCAGCCAUCCCGCGUGUGCGAUGAAGGCCUUCGGGUUGUAAAGCACUUUUGGCAGGAAAGAAACGUCGCGGGUUAAUACCCCGCGAAACUGACGGUACCUGCAGAAUAAGCACCGGCUAACUACGUGCCAGCAGCCGCGGUAAUACGUAGGGUGCAAGCGUUAAUCGGAAUUACUGGGCGUAAAGCGUGCGCAGGCGGUUCGGAAAGAAAGAUGUGAAAUCCCAGAGCUUAACUUUGGGAACUGCAUUUUUAACUACCGGGCUAGAGUGUGUCAGAGGGGAGGUGGAAUUCCGCGUGUAGCAUGAAAUGCGUAGAUAUGCGGAGGAACACCGAUGGCGAAGGCAGCCUCCUGGGAUAACACUGACGCUCAUGCACGAAAGCGUGGGGAGC
This 424-nucleotide ribosomal RNA is filed under the name uncultured bacterium. RNAcentral describes it as "partial 16S ribosomal RNA". It matches the Rfam family "Bacterial small subunit ribosomal RNA", at positions 355 to 769 of the family's 1533-position model. The record is from RNAcentral.